AUUGAACGCUGGCGGCAUGCCUUACACAUGCAAGUCGAACGGUAACAGGUCUUCGGAUGCUGACGAGUGGCGAACGGGUGAGUAAUACAUCGGAACGUGCCCGAUCGUGGGGGAUAACGCAGCGAAAGCUUUGCUAAUACCGCAUAAGAUCUACGGAUGAGAGCAGGGGACCGCAAGGCCUUGCGCGAACGGAGCGGCCGAUGGCAGAUUAGGUAGUUGGUGGGAUAAAAGCUUACCAAGCCGACGAUCUGUAGCUGGUCUGAGAGGACGACCAGCCACACUGGGACUGAGACACGGCCCAGACUCCUACGGGAGGCAGCAGUGGGGAAUUUUGGACAAUGGGCGAAAGCCUGAUCCAGCCAUGCCGCGUGCAGGAUGAAGGCCUUCGGGUUGUAAACUGCUUUUGUACGGAACGAAAAGACUCUGGUUAAUACCUGGGGUCCAUGACGGUACCGUAAGAAUAAGCACCGGCUAACUACGUG
Molecule: ribosomal RNA, 482 nt
Filed under: uncultured bacterium
Lineage: Bacteria
Description: partial 16S ribosomal RNA
Rfam family: Bacterial small subunit ribosomal RNA
Source: RNAcentral